GGACCUGUCUGUCCUUAGUUACCAUGUACCUAUAGUCCCUCAUCCAUCUAAUAUCCCAGAGACCGUAUAUCGAGCAUGGUGUUGUCAGACCCAUACGGUUUCUACUCGAGUCUCGCUCUAAUCGGAUUCUCCCGGAGAACUCUUUCUCUCUCAACCCGAAUGACCCUGGCUAGGGAUUUGUCUGAGCAAGAACACAUAGGAUAUUCCUCUCAUGACGCCGAGAGUGGAUGAUCCUCUAUUGACACUCAAUAGCCCUCGUAAGGUCGACUACCACUCCCAAUGACCAGUUGUACUAGAU
This 298-nucleotide long non-coding RNA is filed under the name Musa acuminata (dwarf banana). RNAcentral's name for it is "long non-coding RNA (MACU_LNC010267)". Lineage: Eukaryota; Viridiplantae; Streptophyta; Magnoliopsida; Zingiberales; Musaceae. The record is from RNAcentral.